UCUUAUUUAUCGUUUAGACGCUGUGUGGAUGGAACGUUAUGAGCGAGAGAAAAGUUUGACAGUUCAUUCGAAUUUUGUCGAAAUCCCAGACACUGCACACCGAAAAGGCGACGUCCGAUAAUCUUUGUCAGCAUUUCACGUCGGUGUUAAGCUCUUACAUUAUUGCUUCUCACAUAGAGUGACCAUGAACGAUGGAGUCAGGCUUCGCGUUCACCCGUCAAAGGAAAUAUCAGAUGCAGUAUUUUACUCGAAGAAAAGGCAAUCGAGAACGCUUGAGACGCUGAUUGAAACGCAGCAUUUGUUGUACCUGCUGUUAUGCCUUUUGGCAGUUUCCCUGACGGUGAUUAUCUUGGAAAAGAAAUUGCCAGAACCUUUGUUGACUGACACCGAAGGCCUUUAUCCUGAAAAAUUUGUCGCUGAGAGAGCGAGAAACAAUCUAGUCAAGUUGACUAAAAUUGGCCCUCGGAUAACUGGCAGCUAUGAGAACGAGGUCACGGCUGUUGAUUUUUUGAAGACUGAAAUUCAAAACGUUGUCAAAGACGCUCAUAUCAGUCAUGAAAUUCAAGUUGACAUCACUAAACAUAGCGGUGCAUUUUCGUUAACUUUCCUAGAUGGGAUGACCAAUGUUUAUAGAAAUGUUCAAAAUGUUAUUGUUAAAGUUGGCUCGAGAAUCAAUUCGAAACACAGCUUGUUGGUUAACUGUCAUUUUGAUACUUUUCCCGAGAGCCCUGGUGGUUCAGAUGACGGUGCUGGAUGUGCUGUAAUGUUGGAGAUGUUGAGAAUAAUAGCUCAAAGUCCAAAGAUAUUAAAGCACAAUAUUAUAUUUCUAUUUAACGGUGCUGAAGAAAAUUUGAUGCAGGCAUCUCAUGGUUUUAUAACGCAGCACAAAUGGGCAAACGAAGUAAAGUCUUUCAUAAAUUUAGAAGCCUGUGGAGCAGGCGGACGUGAAUUAUUGUUUCAAGCUGGUCCUGACAAUCCUUGGAUUUUGGAAGUUUACGCUGAGUCUGUCCCAUAUCCAUACGCUUCAUCAUUAGCACAAGAAAUAUUUCAGAGCGGAGUCAUCCCUGGAGAUACUGAUUUCCGGAUAUUUCGAGACUUUGGAAAAGUUUCUGGUCUUGAUUUUGCGUGGUCAACUAAUGGGUAUGUCUAUCAUACAAGGUUUGAUAACGUAGAUCAAGUGCCACUAGGUUCCCUGCAAAGAACUGGAGACAACAUCUUGGCAUUAGUGCGUGGAAUAACGGCUGGUCACUAUCUUUCUGACAUAGUAAUGAAUCAUCAAAAAGGAAGUCUAGUAUUCUUCGAUUUCUUGGGUGCAUUUGUAGUUAGAUGGCCAGAGUAUCUAGCAAGUACUAUUAAUAUCGCUGGUAUUUUGACUGGACUUUACUCCAUUUACGUCAACAUGGAAACUGCUCGUAAAUUGGAUCUGAGGCAUUCAGUCUACAUUAAACAAUUGGCACUGUCUGUGUUGGCUGUGAUUGGUUCCUAUAUAUUCUCAAUGAUCUCUGUAACAAUGGUGGCGGUCUUUCUGACUCACCUUGGAAAAGUCAUGAGCUGGUAUGCCAGACCGGCAUGGUUAUUUUUUCUGUACAUUUGUCCGACCAUAUUCUCAUCCCUGGCGUUCUUUUUAGCUGUUGGUAAUCAUCAAAAAAAGGAAAAUAUCACUCCAUGGAUGCUUUAUUACUUGUAUUUCGAUGCGUAUAACUUACUAUGGAUUACAGUUUUGUCUACCUGUGUUAUACUGCGACUCAGAUCUGGAUUUAUACCUUUACAUUGGGUGAUAUUUCCUUCUAUAGGCAAUAUAGUAAGAGAGAAAUUUUUCAAGAGAUGGAGAGAUGGAAAAUGGUUGCUGUACCACAUGGGUGUGAUUAGUUUGCCUUACAUACAGUCGUUUUACUUGACACUAGGCGCGCUCUACCUUUUUAUUCCAAUUAUGGGUCGAUCUGGUGCUGGUAUUAACUCCGAAAUCGCUAUUGCGAAUAUGAUAUCGUUUAUAUUCUGUCUCCUCCUGAGUUUUACUCUACCCAUAGUAUUCGUGGUGAAAAAUGCAGGCAGAGUAAUCAGCAUUAUGAUUGGGAUAUUCUUAAUAGCGGUUAGUAUACUAAUUCUGACGCCAUUAGGCUUUCCGUACAGUGGUGAUCCACUAUCCCCAGCACCAGCUCGAUUCAUGAUUGCACACACGCACAGACAAUACUAUAAUGAAAACGGUACGGUUCGGCAUUCUGGUACUGGAUAUUGGUUGGUAGAUUUGGAUAUGAACAGUCCACACAACGUGGAAACCAUUGUACCGGAAGUAGCCACUGCAGGUUCGACUCUAAGAGAUUGCGAAAAAGAGUUGUACUGUGGACUACCAUACCUCAUGCCCGUCACAACGUUUUUAUGGAAAACGAGUUGGAUUCCAGGUCCUGCGCCAUUGAUAAAAAUACCCACCAGGCUGGAAAGAAUUUCGAAAAUAACCAAAGGGAACCUUAUCAGUUUCAGAUUCAACGUUACAGGACCUGAUCAUAUUGGCAUCAUCUUAUCACCGUACGAAGGUGUGCGUCUGAUAAAAUGGAGCGUGUUGGACGAUCCGCCUUUGGAAGGACCGCUUUGGAAUAAUAGACAUACGUACUUUAUUUAUUAUGCUUGCGCAGCUGAUUGCGAGCCUUACAGUUUCAGCGUCGAUUUAGAAAUACCGCAUGGUCAUAAAGGGCCUUCGUUGAGUAUUGCAUUAGCAGGCCACUUUCUGCACGGUGAAAACCAAAAAUCUUUAAGGUUCAAGACUUUCCUAUCCCAAUUUCCGUCUUGGACCGCAGUUAUUCCUUGGACUGCUACUUACACCUCUUGGAUAUAUUAGGGGUGAGCUGGGAUUAAGAUUACUAUGUUGUGAUUACAUGGGGUCGAUUCUAAUUCUAUAUAAAACUAUUUUAUAACGCAAUCAAAAGACAUUUUUUUUUUCAUUACAACCCAUGUAUUACUGCAGUGAAUUACAUGUUAAAGAAAUUUGCAGUCUACGGCUAAUGUAAGAAUUGAAAACGCCUUAUGACAGGAAUAAGACGUAUUCGAAUUAUAGCAAAAUACAUACAAAACGUCUAUUAUUAAUAAAUUAGGUAAAUGAAUUCUCGCUCUGGUACUUAGUUUUUUCUUCAAUGUAAUCAUCUUUAAUUCGUAUGCAACAUACAGGUAUUGGAUAUAUGAGUAUUGUAUCUAAAUAAACUUUUUAGGUUUAGAUUAUCGAAUGCUUAUAAUUAAGCACAGCACAAAUUCAUACACAUAUGAAUCUAUUUAUUGAUGACAAAUUUCUGUCUUGUCCGCAGCUAGUAAUCUGCACCUUGUGUUAGCUAUUAUUACAUGAUAUUUCAGUUUCAGCACACGAAAAUCUCGCGCUCUCCCAAUCGCAAAGAUACGUGAAAAAUCUGCUUUAUGAUAGGAAAAAGUCGUAGUAGUAGCCUACCAGGCUACCUGAUUUCCAAUAUGGUACUAUAUACAGGCUUUAAUGACGAAGAAGAGAACGAACGAGAAAUACAUAAUGUACAAAUAUUAUAUAUGUAUACACAUAAACGUAGGGUAGAAAUAUGUUAAGUAGUUGGUAACGGAUGAUUUUUUAAAGGUGAACAAAAUUCACCGCCAUUAUGACUAAUAAUAACUAACCGAAUUGAUUCAAGAAACAAUUUAAAUCAAACGCGUCACGUAUUGUGGGUUUCUUUGACAAUUUCUCCCUUGUUUCGAUCUUCUGUGAUUACUUUUUCUGUUAUAGAUGAUAAGUAACGUAAAAGAGGAUUAAUGAUAAAGUGCCAUUAGAUAAAAUGUAGGCUAAAUAUACAAAAAUGAUAAAAUAGCACAUAAAACUCGUUGCCACGUGCAGCCGCUGACACUUCGGCACGUGUGUAAACUGAAUAAUUUCUCUUGACAAGAUAACAAGAUAAUGUUAUUCUGGAACUCGAAAGCCUAGAGCAUAUCAACGAAAGCCAAAAUAUCAUGAACAUAAUAUUUAAAGUUGUCAUUUGACAAUUUAUAUAAUGCCAAUUUUAUACGUUUAAGUAAAAUAAUAAUUAACUAGUAUGUACCGAUGAUGCCCCUGCAUUCGAUGCUGCUCUGACAUAUAAUGUUUAUUCAUGAAAGUGAUAGAAAAAAAUCGGUCUUGACAAAAUUUUUUACAGAAACCGAUGCCAUAUGUAUAACAUGUAAUAGCUAUAGCUUUCAAAGGAGAAAUUUGCAGGAAAUGAAAUCUUAACAACUUCUAUCACGCUCUCGAAAGGCUUAUUGGACGAAACAAUGAUGAAAUCUAUCCAAUUCAUCAAAUGUAUUUAAAGCGUUUAUUGUUAUUGAAUUAAUUUUCUAAGUCAUAUUCAAUAAAAUAAUAAAUAUAAAUAUUCAUAAUAUAUAAACGGUUACUGAAUUAACUAAGAUUUGAAAUCUUAAAUUAUAUCGCUAACUGGUUCGACUUUUAAAAAAGAUUUUCGUAGGAACGAUAAUACUGUUAGCAGAUUUAUAAAAAUUUAGAAACAAUAAUUAUAUAAUAACAAUGAUGACGAUAAUAACAACAAUAAUAAUAAUGAUAGUUUGAACUAGACGAAUAAUAUUUAAACGUUGGAUGCCUUUUAGAUGUAGAAACACGUAAUUUGCGUAUCGCAGUACUUAUUACUAGACCAGUUGCCAGCAUGGAUUUCAAAACAAGAAUGCGACUUAUCAAAUUGCGUAUAACACUAACUGAUUAUCAUUAUAUGACAGUUAUUUAUAUCAUAGUAUCUUGAUAUAAAGCAUAAUAUAAUGUAUAGUCAAAAAUACGGCUAAAGAAUAUUUUAACAUCCACAUAAAAUUCGCCGCUUAACGCCUUUAAGUAAUAAAAAUAAUUUUUCCAAAAGAGGAGAAUAAUCCAUGUAAAGAAAAUAAUUAUAAUAACUUUCUACGAUAAUUCUAACCGAUUUCUCAUCAUACUUUAUACUUAUAUUACAAUGCUGGGAGUAGGCUUUCGAAGAUUGCUGUUUAUUGUUUAAAGAAAAGUCCUUUUACUAAUUUCUGCAGCCCAAAAAAGAAUUGUUCACAUUACACAGCUCUCCGUUUCACUGCUUUCGCUUCUUCAUUGCCUUUUCGUCUCUUGAUCUCUUACCUAUGGACACGGUCGUACCAUUUCCCUCCUUUUACCAUGUAGCUGCGGCAGCUGCUAUAGUAUGUUACGGUGUUUAUCAUAUCUCGUUAAAUAUCAUACCAAUCCGUCAAUUCAAAUCAAAGUUUAUUCUUAGUAAUAAUCAUUGUUAUUGUUUAUAAAACAGGGAUUUAAUUUAUGUUGCGUAACGCUUUUAUACCUAUUUAAUUUUCGAUCCAUCUCGAUCACAACGGUUCAUGAUUUACCAUACUUGUGAUUUAUGUAUUCUUCAUCGUUUUAUAGUCUAUUCUAGUUCAAAUUCAUAUACUUACGUCGAGAUUCAGUACGGACAACGAUUUUUAUUUUUAAUUUACAGAGGUACGCUUAAUUUGUAGUGCGGUAGAACUUCUACAUACAUGUGUUCUCUGUAGCAUAAAGCAGGGAUUUGCCGCAAGUUCAAAGAACGCCGGCCACAAAGUCGAUCGAUCGAUUAACGCUAAUGAUUUAUUAAGAUUUAAUCCUUAUUGUUAUUAGUACUAUCAGAGUACAUGUGUUUGUAUUUGUAUCGUGAUGCGUGCCAAGCAUCGUCUUUGUGGCGCCUGCUCUCGACGUUCGAUUCCUUUUGUUAUUCUAAUCAAUCAGCGUGUAUGUAUAUUAUUAGACAUCAGUCUAGUAAGAUUAUAACGAUACAUAUAAUUGAUAAUAUAUGUAAUGAUUGUUAUCUCGGAAAAACUUGUUGAUAACUCAUUUUAAUAAAUGAAAUACUUUUACGGCGUUCUUCAGUAUAUAAAUUU
Molecule: RNA transcript, 5856 nt
Organism: Diprion similis
Lineage: Eukaryota; Metazoa; Arthropoda; Insecta; Hymenoptera; Diprionidae
Gene name: endoplasmic reticulum metallopeptidase 1-like
Exons: 16
Source: RefSeq, a predicted model, not a curated record